RNAcentral lists this ribosomal RNA (388 nucleotides) under uncultured soil bacterium. RNAcentral describes it as "bacterial SSU rRNA". It matches the Rfam family "Bacterial small subunit ribosomal RNA", at positions 26 to 412 of the family's 1533-position model. The record is from RNAcentral.
AGAUUGAACGCUGGCGGCAUGCCUUACACAUGCAAGUCGAACGGUAGAGUAGCAAUACUCGAGAGUGGCGAACGGGUGAGUAAUAUAUCGGAACGUGCCCAGUCGUGGGGGAUAACGUAGAGAAAUUUGCGCUAAUACCGCAUACGAUCUACGGAUGAAAGCGGGGGAUCGCAAGACCUCGCGCGAUUGGAGCGGCUGAUAUCAGAUUAGGUUGUUGGUGAGGUAAAAGCUCACCAAGCCGACGAUCUGUAGCUGGUUUGAGAGAACGACCAGCCACACGUGGACUGAGACACGGCCAGACUCCGACGGGAGCAGCAGUGGGUAAUUUGGACAAGUGGGACGAAACGCCUAGGACUCCGAGCUAAAGUCGGACCGCGGUACGGACGAA